CCCCAUUCCUUUCAAGUUGGGCGACCCAUUCUUUUCAUCAAAAAAUUUCUAUGGCAACACCCCCAACGCCACACCACACACCCACAUCACUGUCGUUAAUACUGCAACUGCUAACCCAGAAAAUGCCUUUUUUCUUUUAUUGUGUCUGACUUCGUGACCCCAUUUGGGGGUUUUCUUGGCAAAGAUAUUGGAGCAGUUUGCCAUUUCCUUCUCCGGCUCCUGCAAACAGGAUUAAGAGCCGUUAGUGACAAACAUAUGUGGUGAGUGCGCAUAAGACUUUGCGGACUCCUUGCCACGCCCAGCUUUUGAAAACCAUGGCUACUAGAAGAAAAGAGGAUUGGGGGGACUUAGAAUUUUCCCUGGGUUCAGGUUUUCUUAUCAACAAAACAAUAGGAUUAGCCUCGGAUCUCUAAGCGCCCUCAGGAUUUUUUACAGGGUUUUUACAAGCUUUUCUUGUAAAGCCAAUCCCCUUGGGAGAUAGGAACGCAAGAAACUCGGCGAAUGAGUAUCAUGAGGAGAGAGUACUCAAUGACUAUACAAUCUUCAGUGAUCCAUUAGAGCCAUCAGAGACCCCUCAGCAACCAGUCAGUAGUAAAGCCCACUAGAGACAUCAACAAUUGCCAACGAGAGAGAAAGUGCCUACAGAUGGAUGUAGAAGGUUGGUCAUCACCUGAGGAGGGUAGUGGAUCCUAGGAUUGGUGCCUUUCUAAAGUCCAUAGCCAACACUUCUCUCCAUCAUGAGUAGUCACAAUCCCUGAAGCUGCUUCCAUAUAGACCAUAAAGCAAUAAAAAUAGUAAUCAAUUUUAAAUGUACAAGCAAAAGACAUGGACUUAAAUGGAGAUUUAAUCAUGGAAUAUUUAAUAAAAAGGGGUCAUAUUAUGUCAUGAAAGCAAUUAACAACUAUGUAAAAGGAAAUCAAAAUGAUGGCAACAUACCAAAUUUUCUGAGAUGCAGCUAAAGCAGUCCUCAGAGCAAAAAUUAUAUCCCUAAAACAUAUAUUAACAAAAUAGAAAAAGAAA
Monodelphis domestica (gray short-tailed opossum) is the source of this 1020-nucleotide long non-coding RNA. RefSeq lists it as uncharacterized. NCBI's taxonomy places the organism in Eukaryota, Metazoa, Chordata, Mammalia, Didelphimorphia, Didelphidae. The record is from RefSeq and is a predicted model, not a curated record.